Long non-coding RNA from Dioscorea cayenensis subsp. rotundata (Guinea yam), 572 nucleotides. RefSeq lists it as uncharacterized. NCBI's taxonomy places the organism in Eukaryota, Viridiplantae, Streptophyta, Magnoliopsida, Dioscoreales, Dioscoreaceae. The record is from RefSeq and is a predicted model, not a curated record. The transcript has 2 exons.
UGAUACUUGACCCAGUUUUCUUACUCCGCCAUAACAUACAAUAGAUCUAAAGAACCAAAGUGAGCCUCCAUGCCACCUCCACGCCAUCUCCCUCACCUUUUGAGAAGUUCUUUGAGGGUUUCCUAUCUGAAUCCAUCUCCCCGCUGCCUUCAUCACCUACUCUUUCUCUUUCCUCGAUGUAGCUACCUGCUUCGUCACGCUUGUAGCUUUGAGGAGAAGGUUAGGAACACGUGAUUGUACUAUUAUAUUCUCUCUUCCCUCUUAUCUCGCUAAUGAACUCCUCCCGCCAUGAACUGACAUCCCAAUCUCCCCAGAUCCUAUCAUUUCUCCAAGGUAACCAAUCCAUGCUGUUGAAAGCAGUUCUUUUACUAUGACUGUUGUUAGUAGUAUGCUAUGUAUAGUCAGAGAUGUUGAGUUUGUGAGCAAUGUAGAUAAAUAAUGUGAUACUUGUGAGUUUAAUUGGGGAUUCAUUAGUUUUUUUUUUGUAGCAACUUUGUGUUGGUAGUAGAAAUGCUAUGUUGAGGUUUAAUUGGGGAUUUCUUAUUGAAAUGAGGAAUUUUACUGUUUUAAUA